UACAGGGGGUGCAAACGUUGCUCGGAAUCAUUGGGCGUAAAGCGCACGUAGGCGGUCUGUUAUGUCGGAUGUGAAAGCCCUCGGCUCAACUGAGGAAGUGCAUCCGAAACUGGCAGGCUAGAGUACUAAAGAGGGUCGCGGAAUUCCCGGUGUAGAGGUGAAAUUCGUAGAUAUCGGGAGGAACACCGGUGGCGAAGGCGGCGACCUGGGUAGAUACUGACGCUGAGGUGCGAAAGCGUGGGGAGCAAACAGG
RNAcentral lists this ribosomal RNA (253 nucleotides) under uncultured bacterium. RNAcentral's name for it is "partial 16S ribosomal RNA". It matches the Rfam family "Bacterial small subunit ribosomal RNA", at positions 524 to 776 of the family's 1533-position model. The record is from RNAcentral.